AUUGAACGCUGGCGGCAUGCCUUACACAUGCAAGUCGAACGGCAGCACGGGAGCAAUCCUGGUGGCGAGUGGCGAACGGGUGAGUAAUAUAUCGGAACGUGCCCAGUCGUGGGGGAUAACGCAGCGAAAGCUGUGCUAAUACCGCAUACGAUCUCUGGAUGAAAGCGGGGGACCUGCAAGGGCCUCGCGCGAUUGGAGCGGCCGAUAUCAGAUUAGCUAGUUGGUGGGGUAAAAGCUCACCAAGGCGACGAUCUGUAGCUGGUCUGAGAGGACGACCAGCCACACUGGAACUGAGACACGGUCCAGACUCCUACGGGUGGCAG
Molecule: ribosomal RNA, 323 nt
Filed under: uncultured Pseudomonadota bacterium
Lineage: Bacteria; Pseudomonadati; Pseudomonadota
Description: bacterial SSU rRNA
Rfam family: Bacterial small subunit ribosomal RNA
Source: RNAcentral